UACGAAGGGGGCUAGCGUUGCUCGGAAUGACUGGGCGUAAAGGGCGCGUGGGCGGUUUGUACAGUCAGAUGUGAAAUUCCUGGGCUUAACCUGGGGGCUGCAUUUGAUACGUGCAGACUGGAGUGAGGAAGAGGGUCGUGGAAUUCCCAGUGUAGAGGUGAAAUUCGUAGAUAGUGGGAAGAACACCGGUGGCGAAGGCGGCGACCUGGUCCUUGACUGACGCUGAGGCGCGAAAGCGUGGGGAGCAAACAGG
This 253-nucleotide ribosomal RNA is filed under the name uncultured bacterium. RNAcentral describes it as "partial 16S ribosomal RNA". It matches the Rfam family "Bacterial small subunit ribosomal RNA", at positions 524 to 776 of the family's 1533-position model. The record is from RNAcentral.